GGGCCCGCACAAGCGGUGGAGCAUGUGGUUUAAUUCGAUGCAACGCGAAGAACCUUACCAGGGCUUGACAUACUACGAAUCCUUUUGAAAAAAGGAGUGCCUUCGGGAAUGUAGAUACAGGUGGUGCAUGGCUGUCGUCAGCUCGUGUCGUGAGAUGUUGGGUUAAGUCCCGCAACGAGCGCAACCCUUAUUUUAGUUACCAAUUCGUUGGGUUCUCUAGAAAGACUGCCGGUGACAAACCGGAGGAAGGUGAGGAUGACGUCAAGUCAGCAUGCCCCUUAUGUCCUGGGCUACACACGUGCUACAAUGGUGGAGACAAAGAGUUGCGAGCUCGCGAGAGUAAGCUAAUCUCAUAAACUUCGCCUAAGUUCAGAUUGCAGGCUGCAACUCGCCUGCAUGAAGUUGGAAUCGCUAGUAAUCGC
RNAcentral lists this ribosomal RNA (422 nucleotides) under uncultured bacterium. Its description in RNAcentral is "bacterial SSU rRNA". It matches the Rfam family "Bacterial small subunit ribosomal RNA", at positions 917 to 1345 of the family's 1533-position model. The record is from RNAcentral.